UCAGGAUGAACGCUAGCGGCAGGCCUAACACAUGCAAGUCGCGGGGCGGCACGGGUAGCAAUACCUGGUGGCGACCGGCGCACGGGUGCGUAACGCGUAUGCAACCUGCCCCCAUCAGGGGAAUAGCCCGCCGAAAGGCGGAUUAAUGCCCCAUAGGCCCAGGGCGCCGCAUGGCGCUAUGGGUAAAGCUCCGGCGGAUGGGGAUGGGCAUGCGUGCCAUUAGCUAGUUGGGGCGGUAACGGCGCACCAAGGCGACGAUGGCUAGGGGGUCUGAGAGGAUGGUCCCCCCACACUGGUACUGAGACACGGACCAGACUCCUACGGGAGGCAGCAGUGAGGAAUAUUGGUCAAUGGGCGGAAGCCUGAACCAGCCAUGCCGCCGUGCAGGAUGACGGCCCUACGGGUUGUAAACUGCUUUUCCCCGGGAAGAAUAAGCCCCUCGUGAGGGGUGAUGCUGGUACCGGGGGAAUAAGGAUCGGCUAACUCCGUGCCAGCAGCAGC
Molecule: ribosomal RNA, 501 nt
Filed under: uncultured bacterium
Lineage: Bacteria
Description: bacterial SSU rRNA
Rfam family: Bacterial small subunit ribosomal RNA
Source: RNAcentral